GUCCAUAGUAAGACUAGUUGCAUAUGUAACACGUUCCUUCAUACCCACAAAAUUACAGAAAGCAUCCAGUCACACAUCGAGAGGUCAAUGCUGACGUAUUAAAAUCAAUUUAUUCCAUUUAGGUCAAUGUAUCCUAAUCUGAUUUAGAUUUUUGUUUAUUUCCAUAGUCUCUUCAAGCCGGGAUAGUUCUUUCAAAUAGGUCGCGACCACUCCAAAGUCACUUUUAAUGUUACCAUUUCAUUUCACGCUAUAUAAUAAACCCUGUAAGUAAAACAAAUUUCCUGCCCUCUUUUUCUCUUUCAUAGCUCUCGAUGUAGAAAUCUUUGAUUAUAGCAGCAGCAUGAAUCCAUUAUUGGCAAAUAAAAUUAGAACAAAAGUUUCACAGCAUAAAGUCAAUACUUUCGGAAACUUUCGCGGAGUCCAGGUGAUUUUUUUCUCCCCGCCCCCCACACCUUCUGUUGUACAUAUAAACAGCUUUCAUUUCGUGUCCUCAAAAGUACUUCCAGUUGUGCUGUGUACUCGCUGGCUAACGGUUGGACUUACUUGUUCGUCAAGUGUUAUAGCAGCUGAAGUAUCAACAAUGUCUCAAGCAAGAGAAGUGAGGACAAUUUCGGGUGGUGCGUGGUUGUCAUUGUCUGUUGCUGGACUGGCAUUGUUGAUCAUCGGCCCUGUAUUCGCAAAGGCUCAGUCAUUUUCCCGCGCAUCAAAGGAGACAUCUUCCUAUAAAGGUUUCAGUGGUCUGUGGGCACGAAGUGAUUCAGUGAAACAGGUGUAUUAUCACGAUCAAACUGUGGCGGUAGUCGAACUUGGUCCAGGAAGAAGUCUCGAAAACUGCGAGCUGGUUGAAGUCACUACUCCAAAGGAAGUAGACGACACCUUACGAAGUCUGAGCUCCAUAUCCAUGCCAAUGGACAUUAGUUUUGAGGAAAUGUUCCAGCUAAUGAACCAAUGUCACGACCUUGUAUCUUCGCUGGAAACUUCGGAUAAGUCAAAUAAAUCUCCGCGAGUUACCGAAACAGUUCUUCUUGGCAUUGUACCAGGAACCAAGUGGUGUGGUAAUUCAGAUAUUGCAAAAUCAUACUUUGAUUUGGGCAGAGAAAAAGAUGUGGACAAAUGCUGUCGUACUCAUGACUUAUGUCCUGUUAAGGUGCAAUCUUACAGAACACGUUAUAAUCUCACUAAUGAACAUUUCUACACUAAAUCGCACUGUGCUUGUGACAACAGGCUUUCCCAAUGCCUGAAAAACAAGAACACUCCUCUGGCUAGACUCAUGGGAAAUGUUUAUUUCAAUAUAAUAAAGGUCCCGUGCGUGGAAGAUAUUCCUCCCACCUGUGAUGAAUCUGGCUGCGUGACAAAGAAAUUCAGGAAAGCUCAUCAGUUCGUCUAAGUCAUGAACAGAAUAACUAAUUUUAAUCUUAAAAAUUAAUUUGGCUUUCACUCAUCAUUCAGUACUAUACUCAAACAACUGAACAAAGUCCCACAAGUGGUGAGGAUGAAUGUGUUUGAGACUAUUGCUCCUGUGCUGCAUUGUUUCUCUCUGACUUGUGCCAUCCAGUCCAAAGUGUUUGCCUCUAGCAAUGGUUAUCAUUAUCAGCCUUCCUGCGGACAGGAUGACUAAAUGGCUGUGUGCCACGAUGUGAGAGACUUUGAGGAACUGUGAUAAAGGACCGGGGAGGAAGAGGUCAUGGCUUUCUCAAGACAUUCCAGCAUUUUCUUGAAAGGACUAAGACAAACACAGAAUAAUUUGAGGCAAGUGUUAAAUUAUUAAAUUGUGUGUGUUGAAUGUAUACUUACUUGAGAUCGCUUGUAUGCAGUCCAACCCUGACAUAAUGAGUAAGGGCAUAAAUAGUCGCACAUACCACAUCA
Zootermopsis nevadensis is the source of this 1866-nucleotide non-coding RNA. NCBI's taxonomy places the organism in Eukaryota, Metazoa, Arthropoda, Insecta, Blattodea, Termopsidae. The record is from RefSeq and is a predicted model, not a curated record.